CCUACGGGGGACAGCAGUGAGGAAUAUUGGUCAAUGGGCUUACGCCUGAACCAGCCAAGUCGCGUGAGGGAAGACUGCCCUAUGGAUUGUAAACCUCUUUUGGCGGGGAGCAAUGCCGGCUACGUGUACCCGGACUGAGAGUACCCGCAGAAUAAGCAUCGGCUAACUCCGUGCCAGCAGCCGCGGUAAUACGGAGGAUGCGAGCGUUAUCCGGAUUUAUUGGGUUUAAAGGGUGCGUAGGCGGAGUGCUAAGUCAGCGGUAAAAUCGCGGGGCUCAACCUCGGCCCGCCGUUGAAACUGGCGUUGUUGAGUGGGCGAGAAGUAUGCGGAAUGCGUGGUGUAGCGGUGAAAUGCAUAGAUAUCACGCAGAACUCCGAUUGCGAAGGCAGCAUACCGGCGCCCGACUGACGCUGAGGCACGAAAGCGUGGGUAUCGAACAGGAUUAGAUACCCGAGUAGUC
RNAcentral lists this ribosomal RNA (460 nucleotides) under uncultured bacterium. RNAcentral describes it as "partial 16S ribosomal RNA". It matches the Rfam family "Bacterial small subunit ribosomal RNA", at positions 338 to 795 of the family's 1533-position model. The record is from RNAcentral.